This 61-nucleotide transfer RNA is filed under the name Heterocephalus glaber (naked mole-rat). It matches the Rfam family "tRNA", at positions 6 to 65 of the family's 71-position model. Rfam says of the family: Transfer RNA (tRNA) molecules are approximately 80 nucleotides in length. Lineage: Eukaryota; Metazoa; Chordata; Mammalia; Rodentia; Bathyergidae. The record is from Rfam by way of RNAcentral.
UGCAGCCCAGUGGUAGAGUGCUUGCCUAGCAUGCAGGAGGCCCUGGGUUCAAUUCCCUGCA